RNAcentral lists this ribosomal RNA (127 nucleotides) under Paramormyrops kingsleyae. Lineage: Eukaryota; Metazoa; Chordata; Actinopteri; Osteoglossiformes; Mormyridae. The record is from RNAcentral.
CAUAGCAGAUAUAUAACAGAUAUACCACCAGCAGUUCAGACUAGGAAAUCCAUCUGAAGCUAAGCAGGUUUGGUUCUGGCCAGUACUUGGAUGGGAGACCAAUAAGGAAAGUGGGUUGCUGCUGAAA